This 162-nucleotide ribosomal RNA is filed under the name uncultured Lactobacillus sp. RNAcentral's name for it is "partial 16S ribosomal RNA". The stretch from base 26 to 162 matches the Rfam family "Bacterial small subunit ribosomal RNA", at positions 401 to 526 of the family's 1533-position model. The record is from RNAcentral. Lineage: Bacteria; Bacillati; Bacillota; Bacilli; Lactobacillales; Lactobacillaceae.
GGGGCAGACUGAGGAGCACGCCGCGGUGAGCGAAGAAGGUCUUCGGAUCGUAAAACUCUGUUUGUUAGAGAAGAACACGGGUGAGAGUAACUGCUUCACCAUGAUUGACGGUAUCUAACCAGCAAGUCACGGCUAACUACGUGCCAGCAGCCGCGGUAAUAA